Molecule: long non-coding RNA, 614 nt
Organism: Apis laboriosa (Himalayan honeybee)
Lineage: Eukaryota; Metazoa; Arthropoda; Insecta; Hymenoptera; Apidae
Exons: 3
Source: RefSeq, a predicted model, not a curated record
AAGAGGCACUCCUAGUUCCAUCUAAUUUCCGAUCGGUAUGGAUUCAAAGAUUCGACGGCCAUUUUGAGAAGACGUGACACUCGGAGAACACGUCAUUGCGACAUUCGAUAUUGGGAUGCAGGAUUCGAUCGAAGAUAGAUGCGAGAGAUUUUCAUGGAAAAGAUUAUUAAGAUCGUUGACACGACGGUAAUUUCACGUGCAUGGAGGACAAGGAGGAUCCGAAGACGCAGAAGAUCAGAUGAGAGAGAAACUUUUAUUUAUCUCAUCUUCGUUUAAAAGGAAGAGGCUAAAUAUGAAAACAAUUUCAGAGUGUCACUAUGGUGGAUCGUAAAAUUGUUAAGAAACAUCAUCAUCUUUCGGCUCUCAGUUAAAUUACAGAGAACAAUGUCUAAAUCUUAACUUAGUCGCGUAAAAUCUUUCGACGUAAAAUCACGCAAAUUGUUAUCGAUUGUCCCGGAUUAUGACAGCAUGAAAAUUUAACAGCAACCGGAAGUCAAUGAUGAGCAGAAUAAGAAACGUGAAUUCGAGGAAGCGUCAUUACGAGUAAAAUUUCAUAACGAAACGAACAAAUUUCAUAACAAAACGAUAGAAGAAGAGUUAUUAACUAUCAAAGA